AGUGAACGCUGGCGGUAGGCCUAACACAUGCAAGUCGAACGGCAGCACAGUAAGAGCUUGCUCUUACGGGUGGCGAGUGGCGGACGGGUGAGGAAUACAUCGGAAUCUACUUUUUCGUGGGGGAUAACGUAGGGAAACUUACGCUAAUACCGCAUACGACCUACGGGUGGAAGCAGGGGAUCUUCGGACCUUGCGCGAUUGAAUGAGCCGAUGUCGGAUUAGCUAGUUGGCGGGGUAAAGGCCCACCAAGGCGACGAUCCGUAGCUGGUCUGAGAGGAUGAUCAGCCACACUGGAACUGAGACACGGUCCAGACUCCUACGGGAGGCAGCAGUGGGGAAUAUUGGACAAUGGGCGCAAGCCUGAUCCAGCCAUACCGCGUGGGUGAAGAAGGCCUUCGGGUUGUAAAGCCCUUUUGUUGGGAAAGAAAAGCAGCAGGUUAAUACCCCGCUGUUCUGACGGUACCCAAGGAAUAAGCACCGGCUAACUUCGUG
This 492-nucleotide ribosomal RNA is filed under the name uncultured bacterium. Its description in RNAcentral is "partial 16S ribosomal RNA". It matches the Rfam family "Bacterial small subunit ribosomal RNA", at positions 29 to 507 of the family's 1533-position model. The record is from RNAcentral.